AUCUAGCCCGGAUUGAACGGCGUGUCUGAGCUCUUUUUUGGCGGCGGCUUCGCCGCCGCCAAAAAAAGCGAGUAGUGAAAGCCGGUUACCAA
Molecule: unclassified non-coding RNA, 92 nt
Filed under: Kaistella treverensis
Lineage: Bacteria; Pseudomonadati; Bacteroidota; Flavobacteriia; Flavobacteriales; Weeksellaceae
Description: Chryseobacterium treverense Flavo-1 RNA
Source: RNAcentral